GAGAAAGGCAUAGUGGUUAUGAUAUUGGCUUGAAACCAAUUCCAGAGGGUUCGAUUCCUUCCUUUCUUA
RNAcentral lists this transfer RNA (69 nucleotides) under Helarctos malayanus (Malayan sun bear). RNAcentral's name for it is "transfer RNA-Ser". It matches the Rfam family "tRNA". From Rfam's summary of the family: Transfer RNA (tRNA) molecules are approximately 80 nucleotides in length. Their secondary structure includes four short double-helical elements and three loops (D, anti-codon, and T loops). The record is from RNAcentral. Lineage: Eukaryota; Metazoa; Chordata; Mammalia; Carnivora; Ursidae.